CCUACGGGAGACAGCAGUGAGGAAUAUUGGUCAAUGGUCGGGAGACUGAACCAGCCAAGCCGCGUGAGGGAUGAAGGUACAGAGUAUCGUAAACCUCUUUUGUCAGGGAACAAAGGCGGGGACGCGUCCCCGGAUGAGUGUACCUGAAGAACAAGCAUCGGCUAACAACGUGCCAGCAGCCGCGGUAAUACGGAGGAUGCGAGCGUUCUCCGGAUUUAUUGGGUUUAAAGGGUGCGCCGGCGGUCUUUGUAGUCAGCGGUGAAAGCCCGGGGCGCAACCCCCGGCCGGCGUUUGAAACUGGCAGUCUCGAGUUGGAGAGAAGUAUGCGGAAUGCGCGGUGUAGCGGUGAAAUGCGUAGAUAUCGCGCAGAACUCCGAUUGCGAAGGCAGCAUGCCGGCUCCACACUGACGCUGAGGCACGAAAGCGUGGGUAUCGAACAGGAUUAGAUACCCCAGUAGUC
This 460-nucleotide ribosomal RNA is filed under the name uncultured bacterium. RNAcentral's name for it is "partial 16S ribosomal RNA". It matches the Rfam family "Bacterial small subunit ribosomal RNA", at positions 338 to 795 of the family's 1533-position model. The record is from RNAcentral.